AUUAGUCUUGGUCGAAGCUUGAUCAUCCAAGACACCUUAACCAUCAUUCAAGCUACUCCACCUUCAAGCUGAUCAUCAUCUCGGCAAGUAGCUUGUGUGUGCUCUUUUCCUAACCUUUGGUUUUGUCCCACUGGGUUUUCCAAAGGAAGGUUUUUAACGAGGCCACAAGUCUACUUCUCCUAUCUCCUAGAUGAUUGAUCUUGGUCUGUCCACAUGAAGACCUUAUGUUAUACUUUUAAGCUAUGCUUUCAUAUUAUUUAGAUUUCGAAAAAUCUAGUCAUUGUUGUGUUUCCAAGGGAGUCUUUGUCUUUAUUUCCCUUGUAUUUUUGAGACCUUGUGCAUGUACAAGGCUUCUCCUUUAUAUUCUGGUUGUGACCCCCCCUUGUAGCAUGAUCCAUCUUUUUUUUUAUCAAAAACCUUUGUUUUCUCUUUUCUUCUUGCUUGUCGAGUUGAUUGAGUGUUGGUGUGUAAUAUCCAACUUCUGGUGUGUAAUAUCCAGAGUCUAAGGGCUUCUUAUUUGGUGUGUCAUAUCGAGAUCAGUCGCCUAGGAGUAUCAAGAGAUCAGCCAUCCCUCUUGUGUCACCAUUCGAUCCACUAACCUUGAGAAACUUGAGUCUCUUAUCGCCUAGGAGUAUCAAGAGAUCAUCCAUCCCUCUUGUGUCACCAUUCGAUCCACAAACCUUGAGAAACUUGAGUCUCUUGAUUCGUUUCUGCAUGGACUAUACCAUCUGUUCCAGAGCAUCAUCCUAGGAUCUCAUUAUGUGGUAUCAGAGCAAUUCUGGAAGGGAAGUGUUUGAUUUUUCUCUCUGAUUUUCGUUUCGGUCUGUUCAUAUUCUGUCGAGUUUGAUCUGAUCUGUGUUCUUUGUGUUUAAAUCUGAUAAAUCUGAGAACUUUGAUCACAAGUCUGAGUGUAGUCUUUUCAUAAUCUUGUGGAGAAAGUUAUUAAUUUGUGUUGUCUUUGAAUCUGAUUAGAAUUGAAAGAGAUCGAUCUGUUUCUGAGAAUUGUGAAUCUGUUUUUUUUUUUGUGUUUUAAUCAUCAAAUCCAAAUCUGAAAUUGAACCUGAUUUCGGGAUCUAUCUUUGUUCUGAUUACGGUUUUAUUGUUUCAAUUUGAUUUGUGUCUGGUUAGGUUUGUUUUGUCAAUUUGAAUCUGCUUUGGAUCUGUCGAUUGAAGUUUGUUGAUCAGUUUCUGUUUGGUUUAUGAUUGAUCGUUUCUCUCUGUUGCUUCUGUUUGUUUCUGAUUAUCAAACUUGUUCUGAUUAUCAAUCUGAUUAAUUUUGGGUUGUUUGUCGAUUUGAAUCUGUUCUGGUUUAUUAUUGCUUACUUGUUUCUGUAAAUCGAAAAUCAAUCUAAUAUUUCUCUGUUGUAAUUCUGAGUGUUCUGUUUCCUUAGAACUUGUUACUGCUGUGUGUUGUUUUCUGUUUCAGGUACCAUGGCAGGAGAUCAAAAAGGAGAACCCAGCAAGGAAGAAAAAUUGAUGAUUGAAUCAUUCAAGGCCAGUAUGGGUCUUGUCCUCAAAGAUCAGAUGAGACAACUAAGACUGGACCUGCGACGGGAACUCCAACAAGCUUCUGGUCAGAGUCUUGAGCCUAGAAGCAGUGAGAGGAGACAAAGACGUGAUCAUGAAGGCAGGGGCAAUCACAGAAAUAAAUUUUCUCAUCAAAAGCUGAAAAUCCCUCCUUUUCAUGGCAAGGCUGAUCCUGCUNNNNNNNNNNNNNNNNNNNNNNNNNNNNNNNNNNNNNNNNNNNNNNNNNNNNNNNNNNNNNNNNNNNNNNNNNNNNNNNNNNNNNNNNNNNNNNNNAAGAUGGAGUUGAUUUUCAAAUGUCAAAGCUAUGCUGAAGUAAAGAAGGUUCAAAUAGCCACUGCUGAGUUUUAUAGUUAUGCUUCAAGCUGGUGGAAUCAAUUGGUGUCGUCUAGGAGACACUAUGUAAAAGAACCAGUUGCAACCUGGCUUAAAUUAAGGGCUUUGAUGCGUCAUAAGUAUGUUCCAAGACAGUACCACAAGGAAGUACUUCAAAAACAGUCUUAAACAAAGCCAUGCUCUGCAAACUCAGUACAGGAACAACAAGGCAGAAUGAGAUCAAGUUCAUCCGGUGUUAUUGGUUUACCUAGCAAGACAACAAGAUGGUUCAGUGAGGGGGACAUAAAGAAGCGGUCUCAAGUGAUUAUGGAUGUUGAGAAACAACUCAGAGAGACCCACACCACACGUACAACCAUAGAAGAACAAAACCAAGAGUCAAUCACUUCAGUCUCAGAACUUAAUUCAGCAGAGCCGGUAUCAGCUGUGCCUAUUCAAGAAGAGCAAGCCAAAGCAACAUCACCUAUCUUUAAUAAAGAAGAGCAGCCUGGUCAGAACGUCAUUGUUCCUUUCAAACAAGACAUGGUAGCAGAGGAGAUACCCAGGGAACCACAGAGAGCUCACAGAAUGAAUCAACUAAUUGUCUUUGAUCCAUGUGAUUUUCAAAAGACCUUCUUAGGUCAGACUAUUUUGAGGUCUACACUUUUCGAAAAGAAGGGUUAUAAUGACCAGAGUAUCAAUGAUGAGUCCUUGGCUAAGUUGGCGAAGCAACAAGCAAACCUUGAAAACUGUCUAGCCGCCAACUUUGACAUAGGAGCAGUCCAAGGAUCAUAUCUCAACAACCAAAGGGAUGAAAGCAACAAACUCGACUUCCAUGGAAACUUAACUCAUCAGGGACUCACGGCGAAUUGGAAUCAUGUCUAAAGCUUCUCAGGGGAAAGAGNNNNNNNNNNNNNNNNNNNNNNNNNNNNNNNNNNNNNNNNNNNNNNNNNNNNNNNNNNNNNNNNNGAAAGAGUUAUGGGUUCUAGAAGUCGGGUGAACCUGUGUUUGCUUUGUUUGAAUUUUUCUGAGUUUAGAACAUCUCAAUCCUAUCUAUGGCGACCAGGUGAGCAUGCUAAGGUAACUAAUCAUGUUUUCAAGAGUUCUUUUAUUGAUUACACAGAUAUGAUGCACUUGUUUUUGUCAAAAGAGCCAUGUACAGAUUAUGAUGAAGCUUUGAAGCAUACAAGGAGAAAGAACAAGCGUGAGGAAGACAAGCGUUUCAAGCCACCUGAUCUGAACCAGGAGAGACAUCAGGACAUUAAUUGAUUCAUCCUCAUCAAAGAAGCACCUCCAGAUGCAGCAUACAAGCCAAAACCGAGCAAAAACCAAUUUGGGAUAAGACUCUUACUCUUUGAUAAAUUUUCAUGUGCUAACUGGUUUUGUUUCAAUGUAUCAGGUUUAAGGAAUGCAUCAAGUAGAACCAAACGGAUCAGUCCCUCCUACAUAAUCGAACCAAUCAGAAAUAAUGCCUAUCAAAGAGGCUUGCAAGGUAAGUGUAAUCUGAUUUUAAACUUUGAUAUUACUGACUCGGCCCCCUCUAUUGCAGGUAAAGCAGAUUUCAGGACAAAUCUUUUUGAAGAGGGAGGGGAUGAUGUGAUCAUGGAAAGCACCAAGGAAUGGAAGUAUUAACCUGAUCCUGAAGAGAUUGUAGCUGAGUAGGCAACAUUGAAGAAUGCUUGGAAACAAGAAGUAUACAUUAGUCUUGGCCGAAGCUUGAUCAUCCAAGACACCUUAACCAUCAUUCAAGCUACUUCACUUUCACGCUGAUCAUCAUCUAGGCAAGUAGCUUGUGUGUGCUCUUUUCCUAACCUUUGGUUUUGUCCCACUGGGUUUUCCAAAGGAAGGUUUUUAACGAGGCCACAAGUCUACUUCUCCUAUCUCCUAGAUGAUUGAUCUUGGUCUGUCCACAUGAAGACCUUAUGUUAUAUUUUUUAAGCUAUGCUUUCAUAUUAUUUAGUUUUCGAAAACUCUAGUCUUUGUUGUGUUUCCAAGGGAGCCUUUGUCUUUAUUUCCCUUGUAUUUUCGAGACCUUGUGCAUGUA
Molecule: long non-coding RNA, 3880 nt
Filed under: Brassica napus (rape)
Lineage: Eukaryota; Viridiplantae; Streptophyta; Magnoliopsida; Brassicales; Brassicaceae
Description: long non-coding RNA (BNAP_LNC009292)
Source: RNAcentral